CUUCCGUAAAACACAACUCCGCUAGUUUCCAUUCAGGUCUAGGAAGAAAACGGUCGACGAGCCUUUGGAGCCAGUCAUUCGCAGUAUUCUGAACAGGUAGCACACCAGGUUGCAACGCUGAAGAGUAUACACGCUCAGUAGAAUCGGUUAAAUUAAAAUGGCGAUUGAUCAACAAAUGGGACGGAGCAUUGUUGGAAAAGUCAUCGAGACGGCCCCAUCUCUCCUUUUCUCAGCUGUAGUGUACGGAGUACCUAUAGUGUACACUGCAGGCAUCGUAGCGGAAAUUGUUUUCACGACGUUUUUCAAACAGACCAAACGGGGUCGCCCAAGCGUCUCAAAGGCAGUCGAUAAACCUGAGGCUAAUAAUACAGCGCGCGCUCAAGGCACUUGUGGGGCAUUUUAAUCCGGGUAUCACGUUUACACUUAAACAGAGACACCAUGUAAAGUCCAAAACAAUUUUCAGACAUUUUUGUUCACUAUUAAAACAAAUGAAAUCGAAGAAAUAUACAUGCUGAUGCAGCAUGAUUCUAAUUUGCGAAAAA
Molecule: long non-coding RNA, 542 nt
Organism: Daphnia pulex (common water flea)
Lineage: Eukaryota; Metazoa; Arthropoda; Branchiopoda; Diplostraca; Daphniidae
Exons: 4
Source: RefSeq, a predicted model, not a curated record